CAAGCGAGAGAUAAUGGAAGCUCUGAUAGCCUCAUAUGGAGACGCAUCAUCGGAUUCGGACUCGGAUACUGCUAUUGCCACAAGAGCAACCGCCGAAUCUGUCCCAAUUCCAAGUACUCAAGCGGAUGUGGUAGUUUUGCCACCUCCUCCUGUAUCACUUCUCACCCCUCCCAAUUCUACUGGUCUCAUGGAUUACUUGCAAGCUGGACAGCCA
RNAcentral lists this unclassified non-coding RNA (214 nucleotides) under Hevea brasiliensis (rubber tree). Lineage: Eukaryota; Viridiplantae; Streptophyta; Magnoliopsida; Malpighiales; Euphorbiaceae. The record is from RNAcentral.